UGUUGCUUUUCCACGGCCCCCCACUAAAAAACAUUCACGAAAUUCAGAUACGAAGUUGCAUCUCUUCCCAAAAGAGAGCGCAGAGAAGAUUACGUUGGAUACAAUAAUUUUAUCCACAAAUAAAGCCAUUUCUUUCUUAUGCUUUUGACCAGUAAUCUCAGUUCCUUCAAUUUUUUUAAUCGAUGUUUAGACGAUAUUUUUUUAUUUAAUUUUAUACGGUUUUCAGUUUGUUCUCAUGGCUAAAAGACGCUGUAUUUUGAAAUCCCCGAUGACUGACGGCGCAGAAACUUUUGGAAUGCAGGUAACAAGCGCCAAAAGGGAGGAAGCAAUUAGUAUGAGACUGAAAUGAUGAUGUUGAAAAUUUGCAGCAAUGACAAAGGGACAUAAAAUGACUAUAUUUCAAAAUUCUUCGGAAAAUUUUGCAAGCCUGACUGCAACAAUUUGAAAGAUGUUUCCUAAUUUUAAUGGAAUAUGCUCUGAUUGAAACUCUUGGAGAUGGCUCAAACCAAAUAUUCGGAGUUUUAUUGACUACGUGUCUAAUGUCACCGAGUACAAUUGUAAUAUUGUAGUGGAAGCGUGAUAUUUUUAUGAUCCAUUAUUUUGGACUGGUGGAAUGUCUUUUAAUAUUGAUGCAUUUCGUGACAUGUUGUGCAAACGUGUAUGCUCAUGUAUUUUCAGAUGAGUAUUGUAUCCAAUAUGUUUACUGAUGCAAUUUUAUUGGUAUUAAAUGUGCA
This is a long non-coding RNA of Salvia hispanica, 734 nucleotides long. RefSeq lists it as uncharacterized. Lineage: Eukaryota; Viridiplantae; Streptophyta; Magnoliopsida; Lamiales; Lamiaceae. The record is from RefSeq and is a predicted model, not a curated record.